RNAcentral lists this long non-coding RNA (621 nucleotides) under Homo sapiens (human). Its description in RNAcentral is "long intergenic non-protein coding RNA 1002". Lineage: Eukaryota; Metazoa; Chordata; Mammalia; Primates; Hominidae. The record is from RNAcentral.
GAAAUGCCAGCUGAGGCACAUGCCUUGGGAGCUAAGUGGUUGCUGCCCUUGACCACUGUGAAGACUGGUGUGGGAAGGGUCGUUUUGGAUGCACUUGAGCAGGGGUCCCCAACCCCUGAGCCAUGGAGCCGCAAGGAGCCACACAGCAGGAGGUGGGAACAUCCAGUUGCAGGAAAACAAGCUUAACACGCCCACUGAUUCUACAUUAUGCUCCUACCUCCCGGCAGCCUCUCCAGGCCCAGAACUUUCUCCAGUCAGCCUCUACAGACCAAGCUCAUGACUCACAAUGGCCUAUUUAGGCCCAUACCCUACGUCACGGCAGCCUCCGCAGAUGAGGCUACUGCCUCACAACAGCCUCCACAGGCACAGCUCCAUCGUUACAAUGGCCUCUUUAGACCCAGCUCCUGCCUCCCAGCCUUCUCUCCAGGCCCUGAACUUUCUCAAGUCGACCUCACCAGGCCCAGCUCAUGCUUCUUUGCAGCCUCUCCAGGCCCAGCUCCUGCAUCUUGGUGGCCCCUCCAGGCCCAGCCUCUGCCUCCCGUCAGCCUCUACAGUCCCAACGUCUGCCUCACAGCAGAUUCUUCACGCCCAGCAUCUACCUCACUGUGGACCCCCCAAGCC